This is a long non-coding RNA of Calidris pugnax (ruff), 5055 nucleotides long. RefSeq lists it as uncharacterized. The record is from RefSeq and is a predicted model, not a curated record. Lineage: Eukaryota; Metazoa; Chordata; Aves; Charadriiformes; Scolopacidae. The transcript has 3 exons.
CACCUCCUCCUGUGUGUGAGUGUGUGCACGCACACUCACUCACAUAUACACACACAAAAGGUCCUUGCUCUUCUCUAGUCUAUACAAAUAAUGACUUGGGUAUAAUAAAAAGCACAACUGGAAUUUCUUUUAAAUGCCUGUGUCAGAAUGAUAAUGUGAGCCAAUGUGAAGAUGGCAUUUCAUUAAUUGCGUUGUCAAUGACAAAUGUGAAAAGUAUGAACGUGCCAGUUUCAUAAUUCUCUCAAAAGCAGUUUGUUAUGCACCUUUGAUAAGUUACAUUUCCACCAAGGAGGUAGUGAGAUCUGAGAAAUAAGCCCACCAUCUCCCACUUGCAUAGUGAUCAUGCAUUUCUAUGGAUCUGAGGGAGGCACAGUAUUCAGGAGACUCUUAGGACACUGGUAUAGACUUUAACUCACCACUUUCCCAAGCAGCCAUGUGUCAACAUGUCUUAAGUAGAUCACCAAUAGAGCCUGAGCACUGUGAACCUGAAACACAGUAAGAAAUCAGUUGAUUCAACUGCACUAUGUGCUCUGUGGAAAAGAUAAAUCAUAUGGUACAACUUGCAUUUAAAGUAAGGAAUCAUACCUUGCCAUUUUUCAAAAUAUCUCCUUCAUGGUGUCUAUUUGAAGCCACUGGCUUCAGAGCUCUAAUGAAAAUGUAAACAGUGGUCUGCCCUGUGCUGCUAACCUUAGGACAAUUGUUUCCAGGAUUUUCUGCCUGUUCAGAGCACUGUAGGACUAAGAAGAGUAGCCCACUUGCCUUUUAUUGGUCAGAUUGCCCAUAUUUUACCAGGAAGACAGAUAUAUAUUUUUUUUAAAGAUAAUAUAGUGAAUAAUUGUUUUGAAUGCAAAUACAUCUAUGAAGCACACUUGAGACUGUAAUGUGCUGAAGGACAACAGUAGAAAGGAAAUCUUAUUCAUAUCCACUUUUUUUCUUUAAAAAGUUUUUACAAAAUGUUCAAUAUACUGAUUGCCCAUCAAAGAAAUCCUGCAGGAGAGAGAACACUAGGUCCAAUUACAAAAAACUUGGAAUUCAGAUUCCAAUGGUAUCAUACUAAAUGCCAAAUGCUAAGACAAUAUUUUAAGAGAAUGUACUACAUUAACUGAAGUUGUUUCCACCCUCUUUUUAUAGAAAUCCUAGGCUAUCUCAAAAUUUGUCUGGUAGGUAUGUGCUUUCUAUUUGUAAAAUAGCUGAGUGUAAUAGAGAGGUUAAUGAUGAAUUGCUCUGCCAGACCCACAAGCCUCAGGAAUGAAUGGCUUGCAGGGAGGGGUGAACAGUAGUCAAGAAGCUGUAAGGAACAUUUUGCACUUGCUGAUCAUCUUUAAUGAAUGUCUUUUACCCCUUCUCCCAUUCAAAACCAAGGGCACUAUUUCAAAUUCUCGAGUUCCACUAAAUAGCACACAGAAGGAAAGGAAAAAACCUGAGACCAAAAGUCAGCAUCCUUCAUCAUUUUCCCUGGCAGUUCUCUUUAUCUGAAAAGCUACUCAAACUGUUUAACACAGCUGCUUGCUGUGGAAAUAAUACUUAGAGUGGAAAUAUUACUUAUUUCUUUGCUAUGUAAACUUAAAUGCUCAUUGAAAUUACCCAUAAAGAAAAUUUGUCUAUGGCUAAAGGAAACAGUCUUUAAUUUAUGGACUGGGUAUUUGCAAAUGAACGUAUAUCUGAGACAUCAAGACUAACAUUUCCCUGAUGUAUGACGCUGUGCAUUGCAGUGCUUCAAUAUCAGAAGUAUACAAAACCCACUUAGUGGGUACCUCAGCAGCAAGUCUGUGGUUGCAAAUGCUACAUUUGUCGAUCCUUCCAAUCAACUUUUCAUAUUUAGCAUCUGGAACUGCAUCAGCUUCAUCUGGCUCUUCCAGCAGCGACCCAGCAAUGUGAAUGCAGUAGUCUUCUUGAAAACCAUCAUCUGUCAAAUGGUGGUGAAGACACAGACUGUGAGGAACAGCAGAGACAUAUCAUGCUAGCUUCGUACUCCUGAAUGAUUGUGGAAGCAGCACUAAAGCAACAUACAGAAAAAGAUAAAAAAUGGACUCCUAACAUAAUAACCAUAAUAACCAACAUAAUAAGCCUUGGAUUUUUGAGCAUCUGUGACUAUGUUUACCUCACAGGAGAGACAGACUCCACAGCAUCACCACCGCACAUCUUGAUUCCCAGUAACCUCGAUUAUGGGACUUCCUGGAAAAUGCUGCAACUCCCUCCCAUGCCUAACUUUCCAGGAGAGAUGUGUAUCUGGGUCUUCUCCUGACUGAAGAUGGAGAUGGUGGUAAGUGGUACAUCUGAAGCCAAAGAGUGGGAAUCACGCCCAGGCUCCCCUGGUAGAAACACAGCUUGGCAGACUGUUGACGGCAAUUUUUUCAUCUGUUUGAGAAGAAACUUCUACAAGUAACACGGGCUUAAGGAUUUGCUCCCAUUACUUAUCAAGAAGCACGUGUUUUCAUAACAAUUCAGUUAUGUUUCUGUUGUGCACAUCUCUGUGUAUCUCGGCUUUCCCAAACACAGGCAGGAAGACUAACAAGAUGUUCUUUUGAGUGGUGACGCUGUAAUUUGAACUUGAGAAAUGAAUACUGCUUUUCCCAGGAACACUGGAAGAAAAGCCCUUACAUCCUGUCUAUUACAUAUUAAAUAGUAAGGGAGGAAAGUGCUGAAUAACUUUGAGGGUUGUUGCCUCUGCCACUGCCACCUUUAACUGACUGGUUUCAGUCCUGUUGCCGUUGCUCUCCAUUUCCUCAGCUUGUAGCUCCAUAACACAGCUCCUCUGGCAGUGGUCACUCUGGCUCCCCAUUUCUCGAGCAAACAAAAACUUGCCUUGGCUUUGCAGGUGAGCUAUCAGCAUUCCUUCUCAAUCCAACAUGAGGGCUGGCUUCCUUCCCCAGUCCCUCAAGGACCAAGUGCCAUGCCCAAAUCUAUUUCAGAGCCUUCUUCCAGCGUGUUCUUCAAUUCAAAUAAAAGCCAGCACUGAAUUUUUCUUCGUGAUCUUCCUCACGACAGGAGAGGCCAACUUCACUCAGCCAACAGCAGGAACCUUUCCUCAGCCCUAUCCUCCUCUGAGAUAUAUUUAAGCAACCAGCCAGCUGCUUUGAACAACUGCAUGUUAAAAGCAAAGCAAGUACUUUAAAUUCUAUGUUAAGCCUAUAGAAGUAAUUAGAGAAGUACAAUCAACAUAAAAAGCCACAAUGAAGAUGACUGUUUGCAUAUGUGCUAGAGAAAGCAAAAUCAAAAUCAUAGCUAUUCUAGCACAGAAUUUAUAAGAGAGAUACAGAAACAAACCAAACAAGCAGUACGAGACUGGCCUUAGAGCUAAAAAUCGGAACUUUUUUUUUCUUUAAACCAAACAUUUUAUAACCAACUCUUAUUUGGGACUAGCUUUGUUAGAUUCACAACAAUUUAAGAACAAAGGUGCAAUGGCCUGAGGCUGGAACAGCCUGAUUUUUCUUCAACAGUUUCUUUUUCAUACUGCAUUUAGUCAAAAGAUUGCAAGUCCACUGCAAAAAAAUAAAUAAAUAAAUUUCAGCUUCAGUUGUUCACAGCACAAACUAUGCUGACCUUUUCCAGACAAUUACAUAAAACAGCAAUGAUAAGCAGUAGGGAUCCCUAUUAAAAUACAACCCACGGCUUUUGUAUGUGUGCAUGCCUUCUUUUUGGCCCACAGUUACUGGCCACGCCAAAAAUGAUUUUAUGAAGAAAAACAACAGAUAUGAUAAAUUCCAACAGAAAUCAGCCUCCAAAUAUGAACAGCAAGGAUAGCCACAGCUGAAUCCAGCAUUUGCUUAAUUCACCAGGGAUGAUCUGAGACAUCUUUUAUCCUUUAUACACAACUCAAACUAGGCAUGCUAGUAAAACCCCAUUAAUCUGUUUCAUGAGUCAUAGGCUUCUUUGUUCUCUGCACUUUGCUGACGGUUUCCUUUAUCUGAGGGUGGAGAAUGUGCUUUGUAUAAAGUUUCAACUUGUGUGUAAGUUCUCUUUGGCACACUGCAUGUGCCCAACACAAGAGACUGUUUUUUUCUUUACCACAUAUUGCUACAGCUGAAAUCAGCUGAAAAUCUCGAGCAGGAAAUCCCUUAACGUGAACUACAGAGUUGCAGUUGGGUAGUGUCUACAGACAGCCUGGAUUACAGCUUCCCAGAGAUCUUAUUGCCCACGUACUGUGCCCACUGUAGAUCCUGUUCCUCUUUUUUCAGUCUUUGCAAAUAAAUGGAAAUAACUGAGCAGGCCUUGGUUGUUUGGUUUCCAACAUACAGGCCAGACAGUUGUAUUUUAACAAAACAAGUAACUAAAUCUAGCAUCCAAUGUUUGCUUGUUGGAUCAGCAGUACAGCGAGCACAUUGGAGAAAUAUGUUAUGAUGGGAUUUUGUUAGCAGAAAGCACCUUUCUAUGGAAAAGGGAUGACAACCCCUUCUACAGAGUUUGAAGGAGGUAAGAUUUCAUUUCACCACUACUCCUCUUGACUUCACCAAGAGCAGGCAUUCCUGAGACAUUCCCCAAAGAGUGUAUGAGGAAAUUACUGACUUUUUUUCUUGAAAACAGACUUGAAGACAUAAUCAGUAAUGCAUGCAUGGCCUCAAAAAAAUGCAUCUGCCUCUCCUUGCCAAAAAAAAAAAGUCCUACUUCAGCUUCUGAAAGAACAUACUUGUGACAAUGUAGAGUUAAUGAUUUUCUUCCACUCUUCCAUUGUAUACUAAGGAAUGUUUCUGAGCUCUUAAAUAGCUCCGCCCAAAAUUAAUGCUGCCGAGUAAAUCAAGGGUCUACAAGCCCGAUGCCUGAGAAUUUGAUCAAGUGAUCAAGUGUUGAUUUUCAGCUUCCCAUGGUGGGAAGGAUUUAAAGUUAAACUUUUAGUUUUCUGAUCUUAAGUGGCACUAGCUCAAUCACUGACUUUAUACAUAUAUAGCUCAAGUUAGUUGUGUGCAUAAGUUUCACUUUUUAUACUUGUAUGUAUGAUACUGCAAGUCAUGCGACUAUCUUCAAGAGUUGUAUAAAAAGUUAAAGGAAGUUAUAUAAAUUAUUAUUUGUAAAUAAAGAUGAAGAGGCAUGUGCAAGAACAGCAAAAACAUGACAUUC